RNAcentral lists this ribosomal RNA (350 nucleotides) under uncultured bacterium. Its description in RNAcentral is "bacterial SSU rRNA". It matches the Rfam family "Bacterial small subunit ribosomal RNA", at positions 8 to 350 of the family's 1533-position model. The record is from RNAcentral.
AGAGUUUGAUCCUGGCUCAGGAUGAACGCUAGCUACAGGCUUAACACAUGCAAGUCGAGGGGAAACGACAUCGAAAGCUUGCUUUUGAUGGGCGUCGACCGGCGCACGGGUGAGUAACGCGUAUCCAACCUGCCCAUCACUUGGGGAUAACCUUGCGAAAGUAAGACUAAUACCCAAUGACGUCUCUAGAAGACAUCUGAAAGAGAUUAAAGAUUUAUCGGUGAUGGAUGGGGAUGCGUCUGGUUAGCUUGUUGGCGGGGUAACGGCCACCAAGGCGACGAUCAGUAGGGGUUCUGAGAGGAGGUCCCCANAUUGGAACUGAGACACGGUCCAAACUCCUACGGGAGGCA